Molecule: transfer RNA, 83 nt
Filed under: Bacteriovorax stolpii
Lineage: Bacteria; Pseudomonadati; Bdellovibrionota; Bacteriovoracia; Bacteriovoracales; Bacteriovoracaceae
Also listed under: 1 other name
Rfam family: tRNA
About the family: Transfer RNA (tRNA) molecules are approximately 80 nucleotides in length. Their secondary structure includes four short double-helical elements and three loops (D, anti-codon, and T loops).
Source: Rfam by way of RNAcentral
GCCUUGGUGGUGGAAUGGUAGACGCAGCGGAUUCAAAAUCCGCCGUCCGCAAGGAUGUGCGAGUUCGAGUCUCGCCCGAGGCA